Molecule: small RNA, 554 nt
Filed under: Pongo abelii (Sumatran orangutan)
Lineage: Eukaryota; Metazoa; Chordata; Mammalia; Primates; Hominidae
Description: processed transcript
Source: RNAcentral
AUUCCAGCCUUGCUGUGCCUGCAGAAGGGGUCCUACAGUCUAGUGGGUCUAAGAGCUUGGGUUGGGCUUAAGUCCCAGCUCAGCCACUCACUGGCAUGGAGAGGACGGAAGGUGUUUGUCUAGUCACCUGACCUCACUGAGCCUCAGCUUCCUCAUCUGAGAGAGAGAACCUAAUGAGCAAGGCAUCUGGCCAUCUGAAGAGGUUUUGGCUUACUACUGCCUCAAGCACAAUAAUAUAUUCAGGGCCCUUGCUGUGUGUGAGCUAGGGGGUGGCAUGACAUGCUUGGCUGGGCUCAUGGUUGCUAUUUCUGCAGAUGUCAAAGAAGUUCUGUUAACUGAUGGGAAUGAAAAGGCCAUCAGAAAUGUGCGAGACAUCAUCACAAGGAAUCGGAAGGCUGGUGUGUUUAAGACCCAGAAAAUAUCAAGCCGAUGUUAUGCACUUACAAAGAAAGGAAAGGACCUGACUUACAGUCAUCUCUCAUUUGUCUGGAAUUAAUUAAUCUUGUAGGUCUUCUGAGCGUUUUACGAUGGGAUAAUGAGACAGAUGUCUCUCA